This 532-nucleotide long non-coding RNA is filed under the name Monodelphis domestica (gray short-tailed opossum). RNAcentral's name for it is "lncRNA (ENSMODG00000030773.2)". The record is from RNAcentral. Lineage: Eukaryota; Metazoa; Chordata; Mammalia; Didelphimorphia; Didelphidae.
CCCAUAUUUUUUACAUCCCCAGGCCUUGGAGCCUUUCUGGAAGACAAAGGUAGGGUCUCCCCGUCGAGCACUCUCUGCUUUGAUGGGCUCCGCUGACACAUUAUCUGCCUUUCAGAGUCCCAUUAGAAUGCAUUCGUGUCAAAUCAGCAUCAUCAGACAACAACACUUAUUAGCUACUUGCUACUUGAAGCGUGAGUCAUAAGAACAGAAGCCAGAGAGAAGGAACCGCUUGCAGAAACAAGCGUUGUGUUUGGGCAGCCCACGUGAGCCUGUGUCCUCCGUGUGCGAUGAGACCCCGGAGGUGCCCAUCAAAAUUUGCUUUCCAGGAAGGACCUGAUAAGAUCAAGGAAGAAUCCAUGAAUCAAUCCAGCAAUCAAAAAGCAUUCAUUAAGGAUUGGCUGUAUUCCAGGCACUGUGCUAGGUGUUGGAGAUACAAAGACAGAAAUCAAACUGUUCUUGCCCUCGAGGAAAUUCCGUUCUAGUGAGACAAACAUCUUCAUUAAUGAAUGUAUUCUAUACUUAUGUCUAUGUA